RNAcentral lists this ribosomal RNA (253 nucleotides) under uncultured bacterium. Its description in RNAcentral is "partial 16S ribosomal RNA". It matches the Rfam family "Bacterial small subunit ribosomal RNA", at positions 524 to 776 of the family's 1533-position model. The record is from RNAcentral.
UACGUAGGGGGCAAGCGUUGUCCGGAUUUAUUGGGCGUAAAGCGCUCGCAGGUGGUUCGUCGCGUCGUGCGUGAAAGACCCCGGCUCAACUGGGGAGGGUCGUGCGAUACGGGCGAACUGGAGGCCAGUAGGGGGAUGCGGAAUUCCGGGUGUAGUGGUGGAAUGCGUAGAGAUCCGGAGGAACACCAGCGGCGAAGGCGGCAUCCUGGACUGGUACUGACACUCAGGAGCGAAAGCGUGGGGAGCGAUCCGG